AAACCGCAGCCCAAAGACGGACAGACGAAAAGUAAUCCCUCGAAACGUCACAGAGAGAGGCUUAAUGCUGAGCUGGACACCUUAGCGAGUCUCUUGCCUUUUGAACAAAAUAUAUUGUCCAAACUCGAUAGAUUGUCCAUCUUACGCCUCUCCGUGUCUUAUCUGCGGACGAAGAGCUACUUUCAAAUCAUGACACAGAGCAGUGGCGAGAAACAAGAGGGAGAUCACCACCCAGCGAGACAUAGAGAUCUCAUCACUUAUGAUCAUCACAUCCUCGACGGGGAAAUGUUCCUACAGGCAUUAAAUGGUUUCUUAGUUAUACUAGACUGUGAAGGGGAAGUUUUUUUCGCAACACAUAACAUUGAAAGUUACUUAGGCUUUCAUCAGAGCGACAUCGUGCACCAGAGCGUGUACGAGCUCGUCCACUCCGAAGACCGAGAGGAACUCCAGCGGCAACUCAUGUGGAACUCUCACCUCCUGCCGGACCAAGCUCAGCUCACUCUGCAGGAGGCGCUGCAGGCGGACCAGACGCCCCUCGAGAGGAACUUCACCGUCAGAUUCAGAUGCCUUUUAGAUAACACAUCAGGGUUUUUGAGGUUGGAUGUCCGGGGUCGAAUCAAAGUCCUCCACGGGCAGAACCGAAAGACCGAAGACCCACCUUUGGCUCUAUUCGCCGUUUGCACGCCCUUCGGCCCGCCCUCGCUCCUCGAACUCCCGCAGAAGGAAGUUAUGUACAAGUCGAAACACAAGUUAGAUCUUGCCCUCGUUUCAAUGGAUCAGAAGGGGAAGAUGCUCCUCGGGUACAGUGACCUCGAAUUAGCCAAUAAGGGCGGUUAUGACCUCGUUCACUAUGAUGACCUCGCUUAUGUCGCCUCAGCGCACCAGGAACUUCUGAAGACGGGUGCGUCGGGUAUGAUCGCUUACCGCCUCCAAACCCGCGACGGUGCCUGGCAGUGGCUCCAGACCUCCUCGCGCCUUGUUUACAAAAAUUCCAAACCCGAUUUUAUCAUUUGUACGCACAGACCUCUCAUGGAGGAGGAAGGGCGUGACCUGCUGGGGAAGCGGACGAUGGACUUCAAGGUGUCGUACCUGGACCCCGGCCUGACCCAGUCGUACCUCUGUGACUCCGAACUGCCGCAGCUCUACGCCUCCCGCAUGAGCCGCAAGUACAAGACGCAGCUGCGGGACUUCCUGACCACGUGUCGCUCCAAGAGGAGCUACACCAACCUCACCGACACGGCCUACAACAACUACAACAACGUGUACGGCGCCUCGGCCUACUCGGCGGACAACGGCCUGUACAUGCAGCAGAACCUGGGCAACCUGCAGUCGCUCUACCCCGCCAGCUACCUGCCCGCCGACAACCUGUUCCACUACCGCCAGCUGGGCACCUACUACCCCGAGUACAUGACGCACGGCUACGUCAGCAACGGCUACGUGGACCCGACGCGCUCGUGCCUCAGCUACGACGCGACGGGGCUGGCCAAGACGGCGGCCGACCAGAAGCUCUACUGCCCCUCGCAGCUCGACGCCUCCAAGUACCAGUACAAGCCGGCCGACGCCUACUCCGCCGUCUACGGCAGCAACGCGGUGCUGCCGUCGAUCGAGCACAAGUACACCGACAUUCGCACGGCGGACGCGCGGCGGGACGACCCGUCGGCGCUGGCGUCGCUGGGGGCGCUGGCGGGCACGCCGGGCACCACGACGCCCGUGGCCGUCAGCUCCGUGUCCACCGCGGCCACGGCGGCGGGCAACAAGGACGAGCCCAAGGACGGCGACGCCUACCCCAACAGCACGCGCCAGACGGUGCUCAUGUGGGGCUCCGCCGCCCACGACUACGACAAGAAGUACCCGGAGGCGCCGCCCACGUCGGCGGCGUCGCUGGAGCAGAGCCCGGGCCUCGGGGGCGUGGCCUGCAAGUGGGGCGCCUCCACGCCCGCGUCGACGCCCGGCGCAGGAAGCAGCGCCGGCGGCUCGCCCCACGGCGGCGGCGAGGGCGCGUCGCCGCACGGCCGGCCGCCUCCCGCCGCCCACGCCGUCGCUACCUCUGCCGCCCACGUCGGCGCCGGCCCUGUGGCGCCCGCGGGUAAGGCAGCGUACGGCUACAGUGAGGGCGGCGAGGUAUGGCACCAUCAGUACUAUCCUUACCACCCGUAUCACACCUCGCACACCAUGGCGGACCCCAGCUAUCCACAGAUCAGCCGCAACCCAAUCCUUUGUUGUCCAUCUCUGAGGUAACGAACACACUCCUCAACCACCAGGAUUAGACAAGGUGGUCACCCUAAAACAGGGAUAAAGAGGAAGAGGCCACCGCUGCUGCCGCCUCAGCUAUACGAGGCAGUCCUGAAGUAACUCCAGAAUCGCCAAUCCUCGCUUAAUCCCCGAAUCCUAAUCCGACAGAAGCUAAUCACUCCGAGGGAUUAACCCGCGAAGAACUAGCUCAGUCGAGGUGUCAGUUGUGAUGGGAGGAACGAGUGCUUGUUUUGAAAGGGAAAGGAAUGACAUUAAAAAAAAGUGAAGGGCGGAGAGGGAGGAGAGAUGGAAAAGAAAGGGUGAAUGGAUAUAUAGUGGAUAGAAAGAGAAGGAGGAAGAGAGAGAGAGAUAGAGAGAGAGAAGGAGAGAGGGUAAAGAAGGAGAAAGAAAAGAUGUGAAAAAUGUACAAUAUAAGAGACAAUGUUUUUUUUAUUUUCUUUAGGAAAAAAAAAACUUGAUACCCCUUUAACGUCUUUAAAAAUCGAUAAAAAAUAAAGAAAAAAAAACUAUUUUCCCCUUCAGUUCAGGAUGAGAAAUAUUUGCAUAUGUCAUUUUUUUUAACUCGUGUAGGAAAUACACGUGAGGUAAUAUUGGCUUUCAUUUUUUUUUAUAAUGAUGAUUAAGAACAUUAUUAUUAGAAAUAUAAAAGCUGCUUUUGUCAAUUUCUUUACUCGAUAUUACCAUUUUCAUUGAUGUAGUUGUCUAGAAGUUUUACGAGUAUUAGAGAGAGAGAGAAAGAGAGAGAGAAAGAUGAUUAUUAAAAAAAAGUUAAACAAAAAGAGAACUAAUAAUUGCUAAUUUAGUACUUAUAGGAAUUUUCAAAAAAGAAAAAAAAUUGUUGCUGACUCCCAUUCUUAUUGUACUAAGGUUUACAUCGUUUCAGGUUAAAUCAAUGUUAUAAUGUUAUAGGUUUGUAGUUCUUUGACAACUACAAAGCACUAUAAUUGCCUUUAUUUUGAUAAACACUCAAGAGACAAAAUUAGUGAUGAUAACAUUAUUAAUCUUAAUAAUGAUAAUGGUAAUCAUAAUUAUGAUGAUAGUAAUAAUGAUAGUGAUAAUUAUUACAGUCAUAAUGACUGUGAUAGCGAUGAUAAUGAUAAUCUAUGGAAGGAAAAGGAAUAAAAUGAAUAUAUUUACCAAUUUUAGCUUCUGUACAAGUUGGAAUUUUUAUUAUUAUUAUUAUUUAUUUAUUUAUUUAUUUAUUUUUUUUAGAAAACAAGGGCAGGUCAGCAGCAUUCAGGGAUUUUUAAAAACGGGAACUUUCAUUCGAAAAAAAUCAUAUUUUAAAUGUCAAAAAUAUGUAUAUUAAAAAAAAAAAACACAUCUUUCCAUAAAAAAAACUAAUAAUGUUCUGUAUUUUGGUAUUGCAAAUAUUUUAUCGUAUCGGAGAGGGAAAAAAAAAAAGAUAUUAUGUCAAUAUGGUCGGUUAGUGUUGAGGAAUUCGCCGGAACAUCGACCUUCGAUGCCCAAUAUGUACAAAACGAUAACAUAAUUCAAGUAACGUUGUGUGUGAAGUUUUAUAAGAGUCUGAAAAUAAGUGAAAAAUUACUUCCUCAAUCUAUUUUGAAUGUGCCAGCGGGUUUAUUAAUAUAUAUCUAUUUUUUUUUUCAUCAUCUAUUAUUAUAAUUGUCAUUGUUGUUUUAACAAGUUCAUUGUUGUUAUCUCUUCACAACGCUCUUAAACUAGCGAUUACGUACAGAUCUAGUCAAACCCUUAAGUAUAUUUUUAGUACAUGACUGGGAUUCUGAGGAACAUUUUAACGUGAGAAAUACGUUAGUGCCUAUAAUGUGAAAAAGAAAAGAAAAGAAAAAAAAACACAGAAAAAAAACAAAAGAAAAUCUUGUUUUUGGAAAUAGUAAAGAAAAAGAAUGAUUAAUUUAAUUGCCUUUGUUAUAAGAGUUCUUGAUGGAGGAAGUUUAUAAUGAAUCCCAGUAUAAUAUGUGAAAUGAUUUUUUUUUUUCUUAUUAUUACGCAAGAGAGUUUGUGUAUUAAACUCUAUAUCGCUGGCGGACGAACUUGAAGAAGAAAAAAUAUAUUUACUUGGAAAAAUAAAAAACUUGAUUCUAGUGAGAAUUAUUAUAUACAUGAGACUUCGAUGGAAGUCUUUUGAUAUUCGCAAAUGCCUUGGGUUUCGAAUACUAGUGCUACGUCAUAGGCCUCCUUCUGGGAGGGUUUUUUUGUAAUAGGUUUGUGUGUUUAUCUUUACCUUUACUUGUCAUUAUUGUUUGUUAUUUUCAUUUUUCGGUUUUUAGGGAGUUUUUUUUUUUUCUUUUUUU
Molecule: unclassified non-coding RNA, 4529 nt
Filed under: Penaeus japonicus
Lineage: Eukaryota; Metazoa; Arthropoda; Malacostraca; Decapoda; Penaeidae
Description: nuclear receptor coactivator 1-like, transcript variant X2
Source: RNAcentral